This 429-nucleotide ribosomal RNA is filed under the name Bacteroidota bacterium. Its description in RNAcentral is "Bacteroidetes bacterium partial 16S ribosomal RNA". It matches the Rfam family "Bacterial small subunit ribosomal RNA", at positions 355 to 776 of the family's 1533-position model. The record is from RNAcentral. Lineage: Bacteria; Pseudomonadati; Bacteroidota.
UAGGGAAUCUUCCGCAAUGGACGCAAGUCUGACGGAGCAACGCCGCGUGAGUGAAGAAGGAUUUCGGUUCGUAAAACUCUGUUGUUAGAGAAGAACAGCGCAUAGAGUAACUGUUAUGCGUGUGACGGUAUCUAACCAGAAAGCCACGGCUAACUACGUGCCAGCAGCCGCGGUAAUACGUAGGUGGCAAGCGUUGUCCGGAUUUAUUGGGCGUAAAGCGAGCGCAGGCGGUUAGAUAAGUCUGAAGUUAAAGGCAGUGGCUCAACCGGGGAGGGUCAUUGGAAACUGGUUGACUUGAGUGCAGAAGAGGAGAGUGGAAUUCCAUGUGUAGCGGUGAAAUGCGUAGAUAUAUGGAGGAACACCAGUGGCGAAGGCGACUCUCUGGCCUGUAACUGACGCUGAGGCUCGAAAGCGUGGGUAGCAAACAGG